Molecule: long non-coding RNA, 2719 nt
Filed under: Homo sapiens (human)
Lineage: Eukaryota; Metazoa; Chordata; Mammalia; Primates; Hominidae
Description: HSALNT0345776
Source: RNAcentral
ACCAGUCAUAGAACAGAUGAUAUUCAGCCAUUAAAAACAGGAAAAUAUUCAACAUUAUUGAAAAGAUCACAGAUCAUUGAAAAAGGAAAACAGAUUAACAGAGUACCAAAGAACUGCACAGCUCAAUUCCAUUUUGGCAAAUAUACAUACACAUACAUACAAUAUAUAUUCAUCUAUAUGUGCAUGCAUCUCUGUGUGUGUAUGUGUGUAUACUUUCCUCUACUUAUGAUUUUCAACUUUUAAAGUUCUGAGGCAGGAAAACAGGGCCUGGAGGCAGGGCACUGAAGGCCAAUUCACACUGACUUCCUAGAACUGAAUCAAAAGGAAAACCCCACCUCUCCACACCCAAGUAACAAAAGGAUCAGAGGCUACCCCUUUGCACUCUGUGGCAGAUGAAAAAUUGAAAGUACCUCUGAUUAGUCCCCUCCCACAAUUGGUGGGAGGGUCAGACUGGUCACAUGCUACUCCUUCAUUUACAUAGGGUGUAACCAAGUAACCAAUGGGAAAACUUCUACAGGGUAUUUAAACGCCAGAAAAUUCUGUAACCAGUGCUCUUGAGCUACUUGCUUGAGCCUGCUCCCACUCUGUGGAGUAUACUUUCAUUUCAAUAAAUCUGGCUUUUAUUGCUUCAUUCUUUCAUUGCUUUGUUUGUGCAUUUUGUUCAAAACGUCAAGAACUUGGACAAUCUGUAGUCAAGGACCUCCACUGAUAACAGUUCCACAGAUACACGCAAAGACAAAGAACACAGAAAGCACAUCACCCACAAAAUGCAGAGUACUCUGGAAGGUAAGCUCCAUGACAGCAAGGAACUUAUCUGCCUUCACCAGGGAAAUGCCCCUACCAGGGCGCAAAACAGGGCCCUGUACAUGUGAGCACACAGCAAGAAGGUAGCUGUCUGCAAGCUGGGAAGAGAGACCUAACCAAAACUUAACCACGCUGGCACCCUGAUCUCAGAAACUCAGUCUCCAGAACUGUGAGAAAAUAAAUGUCUGUUGUUUAAGCCACGCAGUCUGUGGUAUUUUGUUAUAGAAGACUGACUGAGCAGACUAAUACAAGGAUUUUGUAUUCUGACUGUGUCAUGUGUGACUUUGAGCAAUUAUUCAACUUCGCUGAGCUUGCAGUUUUCAUAGCUGCAAAAGGGGGACAGUAACAGUUUUCUUAUUGGAAUUAGUAGGGCUGAUGUACACAUUCUUUCUUUCACCUUCUUUCCUUUUUUGUAGCUAGAUAUUACCCUCAUUUGGCUCCGACUUACCCACAUGCAACUUGACUUUUCAUAGCCUCUAUCUGUCCUUGCUUUAUGAUAGAUACUUUGAAACUCCUGCUUAAUGCUUCAAAUAACUAAAUCAUUGCUAUUUGUAUUUUUUUGCUUAACAUUUUUAUUAUCUUUUACAAAUUUAACUGGCAAAGACUGUACUUAUCCAGCGUGUACAACAUGAAGAUUUGAUCCACGUAAUCGUGUAAUGAUUUCCACGGUCAAAUUAACACAUCUAUUGCCACCCAUGCCAUACAUUAGAUUCCCAGAACUUGCUCAUCCUAUAACCGACACUUUCUACCCUUUGAUCAACAUCUCCCCAUCCUGCCCCUGGUAAAGAAUGUUCUACUCUCUGCUUCUAGGAGUCUAACUUUUUUAGAUUCCACAUAGAAGUCAGAUCAGGUAGGAUUUGUCUAUGGCUGUAGGAAUUUUCUUUUUGAUUUCAAUAGUUUUGGGGGUACGAGUGGUUUCUGGUUACAUGGAUGAGUUCUUUAUUGGUGAUUCUGAGAUUUUUGUUUACCCAUCACCCAAGCAGUGUACACUGUACCCAAUGCGUAGUCUUUUAUCGCUCACCCACCUCUUAGCCUUUCCCCGGAAAGUCCACAAAGUCCAUAAUAUCACUCUUAAGCCUUUGCAUUCUCAUAGCUUAGCUCCCACUUAUAAGUGAGAACAUAUAAUAUUUGAUUUUCCAUUCUUGAGUUACUUCACUUAGAAUAAUGGCCUCCAUCUCCACCUAAGUUAUUGCAAAAGACAUUAUUUUGUUCCUUUUUAUGAGUGAGUAAUAUUCCAUGAUGCAUAUAUACCACACUUUAUCCACUCAUUGGUCAAUGGACACUUAGAUGGGUUUCAUAUCUUUGCUAUUGCAAAUUGUGCUGCUAUAAACAUGCACGUGCAUGUAUCUUUUUCAUAUAAUGACUUAUUUUCCUUUGGGUAGAUGCCCAGGAGUGGAAUUGCUGGAUUGAAUGGUACUUCUACUUUUAGUUCUUUAAACAUGUUUCAUAGUUGUCAUACUAAUAAUUUGCAUUCCCUGUUUUUCAUAGUCUGUUUUUCAUAGUUUUUCAUACUGUUUUUCAUAGUCGUCGUACUAAUAAUUUGCAUUCCCCCAGCAGUGUAACAAUGUUCCCCUUUCACCACGUCUAUGCCCACAUCUAUUGUUUUUUGACUUCUCAAUUAUGGUAUGGCUAUAUGUAUUUUAAUUACAGUAUCAAGUACCUGGGGUCCACCCUCCCUCUCUGCUUCCCUCUGUCCCUUCUUCUCUUCCUCCUUCACUUUUUAUUAGUCAUUUACUUGUUUCCCAUUUCCCUGAAUGAAAGUGAUUCAUAAAAUCAGCCUCUCCAGGAGAUGCUGCUUUCACUUCCAUUUACAUAACAUUUCCUUAGUGUGGCCCUAAAUAGUUGUGCAAGUUACACGCUGUGCCUUGUGGGGAGGGUAUGAAAUGAAUAAGGCUCCUCUGAGCCUUUAGAGAUU